Molecule: ribosomal RNA, 279 nt
Filed under: uncultured bacterium
Lineage: Bacteria
Description: partial 16S ribosomal RNA
Rfam family: Bacterial small subunit ribosomal RNA
Source: RNAcentral
UGCCAGCAGCCGCGGUAAUACGGAGGGUGCGAGCGUUAUCCGGAUUCAUUGGGUUUAAAGGGUGCGCAGGCGGGCUUGUAAGUCAGUGGUGAAAUCUUGCCGCUUAACGGCAAAAUUGCCAUUGAUACUGCGAGUCUUGAAUAUGGUUGAGGUAGGCGGAAUGUGUCGUGUAGCGGUGAAAUGCAUAGAUAUGACACAGAACGCCAAUUGCGAAGGCAGCUUACUAAGCUACGAUUGACGCUGAGGCACGAAAGCGUGGGGAGCGAACAGGAUUAGAUA